This 531-nucleotide ribosomal RNA is filed under the name uncultured bacterium. RNAcentral's name for it is "bacterial SSU rRNA". It matches the Rfam family "Bacterial small subunit ribosomal RNA", at positions 338 to 870 of the family's 1533-position model. The record is from RNAcentral.
CCUACGGGAGGCAGCAGUGAGGAAUAUUGGUCAAUGGGCGCAAGCCUGAACCAGCCAUGUCGCGUGCAGGAUGACUGCCCUAUGGGUUGUAAACUGCUUUUAUAUGGGAAGAAAUGUAUCUACGAGUAGAUAUUUGCCGGUACCAUAUGAAUAAGCAUCGGCUAACUCCGUGCCAGCAGCCGCGGUAAUACGGAGGAUGCGAGCGUUAUCCGGAUUCAUUGGGUUUAAAGGGUGCGUAGGCGGAAGUGUAAGUCAGGGGUGAAAGUUUGCAGCUCAACUGUAAAAUUGCCUUUGAUACUGCAUUUCUUGAGUACAUUUGAGGUAGGCGGAAUGUGUUGUGUAGCGGUGAAAUGCUUAGAUAUAACACAGAACACCGAUUGCGAAGGCAGCUUACUAAACUGUAACUGACGCUGAUGCACGAAAGCGUGGGGAUCGAACAGGAUUAGAUACCCUGGUAGUCCACGCCGUAAACGAUGAUAACUAGUUGUUUGCAAUAGACCGUAAGCGACAAAGCGAAAGCAUAAGUAUCCC